This 92-nucleotide non-coding RNA is filed under the name Neisseria sp. Its description in RNAcentral is "Glycine sequence". It matches the Rfam family "Glycine riboswitch aptamer". Rfam says of the family: This family represents the bacterial glycine riboswitch. Glycine riboswitches usually consist of two metabolite-binding aptamers domains with similar structures in tandem. RNAcentral also lists the same sequence under 1 other name. Lineage: Bacteria; Pseudomonadati; Pseudomonadota; Betaproteobacteria; Neisseriales; Neisseriaceae. The record is from RNAcentral.
AAAGCAUAUGCAGGAGAGAGUGCGCCCGUCGGCGUGCCACCGAAGGCGCAGAUACCCUUAAAUCGCUCAGGUAAAAGGACUGCAUAUUGUCA